This 1056-nucleotide long non-coding RNA is filed under the name Rattus norvegicus (Norway rat). Its description in RNAcentral is "long non-coding RNA NONRATT011168". The record is from RNAcentral. Lineage: Eukaryota; Metazoa; Chordata; Mammalia; Rodentia; Muridae.
UCUUAAGUGUUCUAGUUAUAGAAAUAACCGUUUGUGUUCAACUCUUGAGAGAGAACAGUGUUUAAAAGUGUUACUUUUUUUUCUUUCUUUUUUCUUUUCGUUUGUUUUCUUCUUUUUUUUUCUUUUUUUCCUUUCUUUUUUCCUUUUUUUUUUAUCUAUUUAUUUAUUUUUAUUUUAUUUUUUUUUUUGGGUAAAUUCCUAAAUACAUCUUAACCUAAAGUUUCAGGAAGAGUCUUUGGUGGAUGACUCAUUACUUCAAGAUGAUGACGAAGAAGAAGAGGACAAUGAAUCUCGUUCUUGGAGAAGAUGAUUUGACUGAUCAUUGAUCUGCAUAUGCUAGAACUCUACCUGUGUUUCAUUAGUAUUAUCUAAUGUACUUUUACAUAUUUGUAAAAACAAUUUUUGGUAAAAUAUGAUGACGAUGGAUUUCACAAAUAGAUAAAAGAGAAGAAAACUACCUUCUGAUCUUGUAUUUUGAAGAUUGAUGUUUGCAUUUUAUUUCAGUAAACAAUUGCUAAAGACAUCACAAUAGGACAUAUGCAAUGUUUUAUUACAUACUUCUAUUGAACAUUACAGAAUUCUUUGGGUUAUUUGUAAAUUAAUGAAUAGAUUUCAAUACUUAUGACCCAAUACUUGUUAUAACAUAGAGGAUUUUGUUUUACUCCAAAUAAGGAAUGAAUUUGCAUUUAAAAUCUUAAUGAAUGUUUUAAAAAAUGAAUAGAUGACAUAGUACGCUAACUAAAGUCCCCAAGUUAUGUAUUCAUAAUACUGCAUAGUAGUGUGCUUAGGCUUUACUAUGUAUUAGCCGUUUGUUGGAUUUGUGUAUGUAUUUUAUCACAUGGGUGUUAAUGAUAAUGGUGUAUGACUGCUUUACAUAUGAGUCCUUAUGCAUCUGGAUGCUAAAAAUAAAGUGGAAUGGUCUCUUAAAAGAAAAAAGAAAAGAAAAAAAAGCAAUGACAAAAAAAAAUUCAUGACAACGUUCCUUGAUUUAAAAAAGAAAAAAGAAAAAGAAAAAAAAAAGAAAAAAGAAAAAAAAAGAAAAAAGAGAAAAAAGAG